CCCUUAGAUGUUCUGGGCCGCACGCGCGCUACACUGAUGCAUUCAACGAGCCUAUCCUUGACCGACAGGUCCGGGUAAUCUUUGAAUCUGCAUCGUGACGGGGAUAGAUUAUUGCAAUUAUUAAUCUUCAACGAGGAAUGCCUAGUAGGCGCAAGUCAUCAGCUUGCGUCGAUUACGUCCCUGCCCUUUGUACACACCGCCCGUCGCUCCUACCGAUUGGGUGUGCUGGUGAAAUGUUCGGAUCGGCCGUUUGUCGCGGUUUCCGCGGCUCGUUGCUGAGAAGUUCAUUAAACCCUCCCACCUAGAGGAAGGAGAAGUCGUAACA
This 325-nucleotide ribosomal RNA is filed under the name uncultured eukaryote. RNAcentral describes it as "partial 18S ribosomal RNA". It matches the Rfam family "Eukaryotic small subunit ribosomal RNA", at positions 1470 to 1796 of the family's 1831-position model. The record is from RNAcentral.